GUCUCAGUUCAGAUUGCAGGCUGCAACUUGCCUGCAUGAAGUCGGAAUUGCUAGUAAUCGCAGAUCAGCAUGCUGCGGUGAAUACGUUCCCGGGCCUUGUACACACCGCCCGUCACACCAUGGGAGUCGGUAACACCCGAAGUCGGUAGCCUAACCGUAAGGAGGGCGCCGCCGAAGGUGGGAUUGAUGACUGGGGUGAAGUCGUAACAAGGUAAC
Molecule: ribosomal RNA, 216 nt
Filed under: uncultured bacterium
Lineage: Bacteria
Description: partial 16S ribosomal RNA
Rfam family: Bacterial small subunit ribosomal RNA
Source: RNAcentral